CAGGGACUUCCUGAGGAAAACGAGCACGUU
Molecule: non-coding RNA, 30 nt
Filed under: Homo sapiens (human)
Lineage: Eukaryota; Metazoa; Chordata; Mammalia; Primates; Hominidae
Source: RNAcentral